This 487-nucleotide ribosomal RNA is filed under the name uncultured bacterium. Its description in RNAcentral is "partial 16S ribosomal RNA". It matches the Rfam family "Bacterial small subunit ribosomal RNA", at positions 28 to 507 of the family's 1533-position model. The record is from RNAcentral.
GAUGAACGCUCGCGAUAGGCUUAACACAUGCAAGUCGAGGGGCAGCACAAGGUAGCUUGCUAUCUGGGUGGCGACCGGCGCACGGGUGCGUAACGCGUAUGCAACUUGCCCUAUACAGGAGGAUAACCCGUCGAAAGACGGACUAAUACUGCGUAUGCUCACAACUUGGCAUCAAGUGGUGAGGAAAGAAAUUCGGUAUAGGAUAGGCAUGCGUCCCAUUAGCUUGUUGGUGAGGUAACGGCUCACCAAGGCAACGAUGGGUAGGGGAACUGAGAGGUUUAUCCCCCACACUGGUACUGAGACACGGGCCAGACUCCUACGGGAGGCAGCAGUGAGGAAUAUUGGUCAAUGGGCGCGAGCCUGAACCAGCCAAGUCGCGUGAAGGAUGACUGUCUUAUGGAUUGUAAACUUCUUUUAUACGGGAAUAACAAGAGUCACGUGUGACUCCCUGCAUGUACCGUAUGAAUAAGCAUCGGCUAACUCCGUG